CUCAGGACGAACGCGGGCGGCGUGCCUAAUACAUGCAAGUCGAGCGGACAGAAGGGAGCUUGCUCCCGGAUGUUAGCGGCGGACGGGUGAGUAACACGUGGGUAACCUGCCUGUAAGACUGGGAUAACUCCGGGAAACCGGAGCUAAUACCGGAUAGUUCCUUGAACCGCAUGGUUCAAGGAUGAAAGACGGUUUCGGCUGUCACUUACAGAUGGACCCGCGGCGCAUUAGCUAGUUGGUGGGGUAAUGGCUCACCAAGGCGACGAUGCGUAGCCGACCUGAGAGGGUGAUCGGCCACACUGGGACUGAGACACGGCCCAGACUCCUACGGGAGGCAGCAGUAGGGAAUCUUCCGCAAUGGACGAAAGUCUGACGGAGCAACGCCGCGUGAGUGAUGAAGGUUUUCGGAUCGUAAAGCUCUGUUGUUAGGGAAGAACAAGUGCGAGAGUAACUGCUCGCACCUUGACGGUACCUAACCAGAAAGCCACG
This 489-nucleotide ribosomal RNA is filed under the name Bacillus safensis. Its description in RNAcentral is "bacterial SSU rRNA". It matches the Rfam family "Bacterial small subunit ribosomal RNA", at positions 23 to 495 of the family's 1533-position model. The record is from RNAcentral. Lineage: Bacteria; Bacillati; Bacillota; Bacilli; Caryophanales; Bacillaceae.